RNAcentral lists this ribosomal RNA (254 nucleotides) under uncultured bacterium. RNAcentral describes it as "partial 16S ribosomal RNA". It matches the Rfam family "Bacterial small subunit ribosomal RNA", at positions 524 to 776 of the family's 1533-position model. The record is from RNAcentral.
UACGUAGGGGGCGAGCGUUGUCCGGAUUUAUUGGGCGUAAAGAGCUCGUAGGCGGUUGGGUAAGUCGGGUGUGAAAACUCAGGGCUCAACUCUGAGACGCCACUCGAUACUGCCCUGACUCGAGUCCGGUAGGGGAGCGUGGAAUUCCCGGUGUAGCGGUGAAAUGCGCAGAUAUCGGGAGGAACACCAGUGGCGAAGGCGGCGCUCUGGGCCGGAACUGACGCUGAGGAGCGAAAGCGUGAGUAGCAAACAGG